GCGAGAGUGGCGGAAUUGGCAGACGCGCCAGAUUCAGGUUCUGGUGGGAGCAAUCUUGUGCAGGUUCAAGUCCUGUCUCUCGCACCA
This 87-nucleotide transfer RNA is filed under the name Clostridiaceae bacterium. RNAcentral's name for it is "tRNA-Leu". It matches the Rfam family "tRNA". Rfam says of the family: Transfer RNA (tRNA) molecules are approximately 80 nucleotides in length. Their secondary structure includes four short double-helical elements and three loops (D, anti-codon, and T loops). Lineage: Bacteria; Bacillati; Bacillota; Clostridia; Eubacteriales; Clostridiaceae. The record is from RNAcentral.